UCAAGUUGACACAAAACUAGCCGGUACAAUAUCCAUACAUGCAUGUGACUUAUUUUGAUCAAAUCUAUUUUCCAUUCUUUACCUUUCAAUUCUUACCCUAUUUCUACCACCUCUUUCUACUCACAACUUAAUGUGCUCAUUUUUUCUCCCAGCACCCACUGAGUCCAUUUAGUGCUGUCUGUAUACACAUGGCUGUAGGGCAAUCUCCUGGAUCAUGGGUAGCCUUUCUGAAUCCCUGAAGAAAACUGACUCUUCUGCCCCCAGCAACCAUUAGUUGCCAAUACCUCUUCAGGUAGGGGGUGAAAAUUCGUGAGCUCCUCCCCAUCCAUUCUGAGUUACUUCAAGUUUGUCAGGGAUUUAGCUGCCUGAGUUAGGAAUGUAUCAGACAACAUUUCCAUUCCAAGGAGAGAAAGUUGUUACUGGUAAGUCUCUCCAAUCCUUGCUCCAGUUUUAUGGGUGAUGUGCUCUAAUAAGACUGUAUUACCCCUUCCAUAUCCAUUUAUGCCCUUUCUCUGCAGUUACACUGUCUGUACAGCAGCCUAGAUGUCAUUCAAAUCCAAGAAAAGCUGAAGGAAGCAGUCUUUUCAGCCAUUCUGGAAGUGCUUAUUCUCCUUUGAUUUAAACCAGCCCCUGCACUUACUCGGUUUCCUUUUCUCUGAAAACUACAAGAUGUAAAAAUACUAAGUAUAUUUCAAGAAUUUUUGCUCAAAGUCUGGAUUUUGUAGUUUUGUGAGACUCUAUGUAAAACUAGGUUGUGUGUCAGUGUAUAAUGAUAUUAACUCCCGAGUGUCCUAGUCAAAAAUGAAGUUGAAGCAUUAGCAAACUGUAAUAGUUUUAAUUGAUUGGAUUGUUUAUAACACAUUGCUUUUUAUUUUAUUCAGUGAUAAGAAAAUGUAAUUAUUCAGCUAGAAUAGUUUCCCAGUUUUGUUCACAGUAAGGAAGGUCUAAAGGCUAAAUUAUUUAUGAGGGAAAAAAACACCACUCCUUGUAUUGUUUCUUACCAACUGACGACCAUUGAUCGAGAAAUGAACUCCCCAAGUGAGAUAUCAAAUGACUUUAAAGAUCUAUGGGGUUGAGAUGAGGAAGUUUGAUGAAAUCUUAACAUCGAGUGAUGAAAUACUUAUGAGUUACGUUAAGCUAUAGACUGUGACUGUGGACUUAAUUGAUUCUUGCCUAAGACAUUUGUGAACCCCCACAAAAAAAGUGUUUAGGAUAUGCUGAGAAUCAAGAAUUGUCAGGGAAUAAGAGCAAUGAAAAAUAAAACAUUCUCCUAGCUUGCUGUCUACUAAGGGACACACAAGUAGAUGAAUCCUAUGAAUGGUGAAUAACAGCCAUAUUAAUUCAGGGAGCUCCGGUUUAACAGGAAAUAAAACAAAUUCAGGUUUAUGUUUUUGUUUUGUUUUCAAAUUCAGGUUUGUUUGUUUGUUUGUUUGUUUGUUGAGUAAAAAAAUACGUUAUAAGCCAAAGGAAUUUCUGUGUACCAGAAGUAAUCUAGACAUUGACUAUUUUGAGACACAAUUAGAUUAAUCUGCAUUUUAUUACUUUUACAUGAAUAUACUGGCUAGAACCUUGAUUUGUUUUGAAAGCUCUCAGUAGCUGAGUGUUUUUGACCAUGCUAUAAAAUGCCUUCUGAAUGCAAGAAUGCUCCUUGGAUUUGAAGUGGUUUUCAUUCCACCUUGCACUUUCAGUAUUACCAGGAAAUGUAUGAGUUCAGGAUAAAGGCUUGAAAUAUGAAGGUCCUUCAGAGCUUGUUUUUGUUCUUAAAUAUAAUUUGUGGAAAGUUUUCAAGAAGGAGAAAACACUAUCUUAAGCCUAAAUUUAAAACUUAACAUUUUUUUUUACAUAUGUAUUCGACUUGGAAAAAUUUUUCUAGAGCUCAGAGUUUUAAAAUUACAAAAAUUUGCACUUUAUCUAAGUUGCUGAGGUUCCUCUUCCAAAUCUCAAAUCCAUGAGAUUAGAAAGUAUAUACUCUGAGAAGUUUACAACUUGCAGGGAUUCGGGCUUUGAAUGAUCUGUCAGAGCUGAUUUUAUACAGUUCGUGCUCAUUGCAGUUACCCAAAAUGGCACACAUUUAUAAGAGAUGGAUGUCACAGAUAGAGCUUUGAGAUUUCUCACUGCCCCUCCCCCAACCCCCAUGCUUAAUCCAGUAGAAAGAUGGAAGUUGAAAAUUUCAGUAGCUUUACAGUAAGAGCUUAACACACCAAGAGAAAUUUAAGUUUGUUAAGACCUGGUUCUGAUGAUUCUCUGGUAAUGUAUCAGUUUUUAAUAUUUAUUUUCUGUCCUUUUUUUAGAGGCUUAAAAUAAAAAACAAAAACAUUAUCGGUAAAGUUUGUGAGACAAGAUAUUUCAAGACAUUGUCCCUCCCACCCCCAUGUCUGUAUACUAUUAACUGCUAUUACUAACUUGUGGGCUCAUGUCCCAUCAACUCCUUCCCUGUCUCAGGGAAGGCUAAACAGGCUAAAAUUUGAAUUUUCAAUCCCAUUUUCCUCUCCCUCUCCGUCUCCCUUCCUCCUUUUCUCCUUUCCUCCCUCCCCAUCUCCCUAUAUCUCUCUCUCUCUGUCUCUCUCCCUCUGCUGCUUUCAAACCUCCAGUACUUCCGAGUGCAAGUUCAGCUUUCAGUUUUAUAGUCUUUUCAUCCCUGCCCCCUUUUUGUCAGAGUCCUCCACAUGGUACUUCCUACCACAUACACUGAGCAGAACAGAUUAAUGACCUCGUUUAAAAAUGCUAGUUUUCUAUUCACAGUUGAACAUAGCUGAAAGUGCAUGUAUAUAUUGUCAAGUUGUCUUUAUGUUUAUGCUUUAUAUCAACAGGCAAACUAUGGACACGAAGUAUGAAGGUUGCUUACAACAUUCUACAUAAACUAGGUACAAAGCAAGAACCUAUGGUACGGCCUGGAGACAGGGUAAGUGAGGUUCAAAUAACUAGAAAACCUCUAUGUUAUGAUUCCAGAACUCAGUCUGUUCUUCCUCCUUGGUAGAGUAAGGUUGGACAUAACAUGCAAGUAAGCAUUUUUUAUGACCAUCUGAUUGGAGAGUUUUCUGUGUUCUGCUGUUUUGAAUCAGCUUCCUCAGACAUUGUGGCCCAUGUUGUGGGAAGGAAAUCAUGUGGUAGUAGUCACCUGGGAGUAUUACAAACUUAUAACUGUCUCUUGUUUCUGCAUGAGCCUACCCACCUGAAAUUGUGCUAACAACACACACUGCCUUAUGAAGGCAGAUUCACAUGAGACGUGGUCUCAAAAAUUAGUUUUUGUUAAUAUGCUUACACAUACAAAUAUAUCCUCUUACUCUCUUUCCAACUUGUUCUUGCUGGUUUUCUUUUAAGCUAUGUAGAAAAGAAAUCAUGUAUUCCAGAACUUAAUCUUUCUCCAGCACCUUUCCUGUCUUACAAAAUACCCAGCAUGGCUAAAUUUAAGAUACAGCUCCUGGCUUCAAAACUACUACCAGUAUCCUUUUAUGCUAGCCUAUUUAUCUUGGAUAUUAAAUAUGCUAGACUACCUUAUCUAAAUGUUCUUACCAAAAUUAAUAAGGCUACUUAAAACAUUUUUAAAGAAUCCAUUUGAAACUCAAAAAGUACAAAAAUGAUGCAUAUUUGCUAAACCUUUGGAUUUCUGUGCCUGUGAAAAUACACCCACAAGGUUUGUAAAGAGUUGACACCAUAGGUGCAGCAACGUGUUAGAGGGGCUUAUGUGAAAAUAAAAGCUGCAUCCUGAAGAACACAGUAGGAAUCCUAUUAACCAACCAACCAACCAACCAACCAAAGAACUCUUAUCAUACAGGAAACUUUGUAAAACCCCAGUGAGUUGGCAAUACCAUUUGAGAGAGCACUAGGAUAGGUUAAAUAUUAAAUUGGCUGUGUUGCAAACAGUCAUGUAGCGCAUACUGAUGUUCAGAGAGUUUGCAUGUAGGAUGGCCAUCCCAGAAGAUACUGCUUAGUGAAGUGUCAUAGCCAUUCUAGUUUGCCUGAGUACAGUCUCUAUACUUUAAUUAUUAUAACCCACCUAACACAUUUCUCCUAAUUUAUAUCUACACCAAAACUGUCUCAAUUCUUUAAAAAAGCAUGGAGAAAUUGGCUCAAAUAUUUAUUACCUUUGAAUAUAAAGGAAACACAUUUAAAACAUGAAAUAUAUACC
This 4129-nucleotide long non-coding RNA is filed under the name Mus musculus (house mouse). RNAcentral's name for it is "long non-coding RNA chr13:9557860-9561989". The record is from RNAcentral. Lineage: Eukaryota; Metazoa; Chordata; Mammalia; Rodentia; Muridae.